RNAcentral lists this ribosomal RNA (251 nucleotides) under uncultured bacterium. Its description in RNAcentral is "partial 16S ribosomal RNA". It matches the Rfam family "Bacterial small subunit ribosomal RNA", at positions 525 to 775 of the family's 1533-position model. The record is from RNAcentral.
ACGGAGGAUCCGAGCGUUAUCCGGAUUUAUUGGGUUUAAAGGGUGCGUAGGCGGGUUGUUAAGUCAGCUGUGAAAGUUUGAGGCUCAACCUCAAGACUGCCAUUGAUACUGGGGAUCUUGAGUCAUGUCGAGGGUGGCGGAAUGUGAUGUGUAGCGGUGAAAUGCUUAGAUAUCUCUGAGAACUCCGAUUGCGGAGGCAGCUGCCUAGACAUGUACUGACGCUGAUGCACGAAAGCAUGGGGAUCAAACAG